GAUGCUUAUGUUGAGCAAGAAUGAGCAAUUUCAUGUGUCAAUUUUGGUUCAAAAUCUUUGAAGUCAAGCAUCAGUCGCAAAUAAGCUGAUGAAGACUGCUAAAGAGAAUCUAUGCAUUCUCACCAUAUUUCGUGACUUCAUGUAUUGCAUUUGCUAAGUAAUUUACAUUGCCUGUAGUAACACCGGCCAUACUCAUUCGUCCAUCAUGAGUCAUAUAAAUGUGGAAUUCCCUUGCUAGCCAAUCAACCUGUUUGGGGGUUAAGCCAGAGAAACAAAACAUCCCAACCUGGUUUGUUAUAUGUUGCCAAUUGAGAGACCAAUUGAGAGAAGAACCCAAUUGCCAAAGGCUUUCCUUCACCUCCUUGACCCAAAGUGCCUUUAUAUCUGGAUCACUCAGGACAGUAGAGACUAGUGAUGUACCAUGAACAGGAG
Molecule: unclassified non-coding RNA, 432 nt
Filed under: Hevea brasiliensis (rubber tree)
Lineage: Eukaryota; Viridiplantae; Streptophyta; Magnoliopsida; Malpighiales; Euphorbiaceae
Source: RNAcentral